AUUGAACGCUGGCGGCAUGCCUUACACAUGCAAGUCGAACGGCAGCACGGGAGCAAUCCUGGUGGCGAGUUGGCGAACGGGUGAGUAAUAUAUCGGAACGUGCCCAGUCGUGGGGGAUAACGUAGCGAAAGCUACGCUAAUACCGCAUACGAUCUAUGGAUGAAAGCGGGGGAUCGCAAGACCUCGCGCGAUUGGAGCGGCCGAUAUCAGAUUAGGUAGUUGGUGAGGUAAAGGCUCACCAAGCCGACGAUCUGUAGCUGGACUGAGAGGACGACCAGCCACACUGGAACUGAGACACGGUCCAGACUCCUACGGGAGGCAGCAGUGGGGAAUUUUGGACAAUGGACGCAAGUCUGAUCCAGCCAUUCCGCGUGCAGGAUGAAGGCCCUCGGGUUGUAAACUGCUUUUGUACGGAACGAAAAGGUUUCUAUUAAUACUAGGAGCUCAUGACGGUACCGUAAGAAUAAGCACCGGCUAACUACGUG
This 485-nucleotide ribosomal RNA is filed under the name uncultured bacterium. Its description in RNAcentral is "bacterial SSU rRNA". It matches the Rfam family "Bacterial small subunit ribosomal RNA", at positions 30 to 507 of the family's 1533-position model. The record is from RNAcentral.